CCGGUCUGUUGUGUGCAACCGGCCUAUCCGUCUCCAUCAGGGUGUCCCAAUAGAGCCUGUAUUCCUCAUUUUCCAUGACCGCUUUUGGCAUAUAUUCGUACGGCUUCCUUGAGGUGCCAAGAUGGAGCAAGACGACGUGACAUGCUGUAUUGUUUCCAGACCCUGAGAGCAUUUUCGGCACCUGUCUGAUGGUAAGUAUCUUUUUGUUAUGUUCUUAAUAUAUGCUCUAGUCGGAACCACCUGGUCUUGGAUUGCCACCAGUCUUCCUUCAGUCUCAGGAUACAAGGCUUCUGGGUACCUGCCAUGUAGCGUCAUUCCAUGCCAACGUUCCGUCAGCGUUCCGAUGGUCGUUGCCUCGGUGAGAGUUCUUCGGUCUGCUAGAUUGAGCGCUGUUAUGUUCUCGUCUUCCUGACAUAUAAUCUUGAACAAUGCCUAUCGCAGAUUGUCACCAGCUCCUCUCUCAGCUGCCAACUACGCCUCCUCACCCGGUACUCCGACGCAACUCUUAGUGUUUUCUUCAGAAGCUUCCUUGAUGGGUUCUCCGUAUGCAGGUAAGUGUGAAGCACCCCAAUCUUCUUUCUGUUCUCAACUAUCUUCUUUUCUAGGCGUAUUUUCCAUGGAGGGGUUUUAUCUUUGCGGUGCGUGGGUUGAUUGUUUUCUAAGUGAAGGCCAACCUCCUCGCAGACAGUCACCGCACCCGCAUAGACCAUGUCCAGUAUCUCUUUAAGAUCAUUUGAGUUCCGCAUACAGGUGUUCAAUACGUCAUCAAUUUUCCGAACAGUCUGUAGCAACCUGACGGAGCCCUUCAUCCUUGGCAAUUUUGGUCUUCUUUCAGGUCCCAUUCCCGAGAACAAUUGCAAAUUUCUGGAGAAACGUCGCUCCAUUCCGGUUUGUCUGAAGCUCACUCUAUUCUCCAUCUGCGUACCAUUUCCAGUUGACUCCACUUCUUCCUGUACUUCCGCUCCAAGUGGUGAAACACUCUGCAUUAUAGAAUCGAGCUCCAUCGACGAAAAUUUG
Long non-coding RNA from Coccinella septempunctata (seven-spotted ladybird), 1017 nucleotides. RefSeq lists it as uncharacterized. NCBI's taxonomy places the organism in Eukaryota, Metazoa, Arthropoda, Insecta, Coleoptera, Coccinellidae. The transcript is spliced from 4 exons. The record is from RefSeq and is a predicted model, not a curated record.